RNAcentral lists this ribosomal RNA (468 nucleotides) under uncultured bacterium. RNAcentral's name for it is "partial 16S ribosomal RNA". It matches the Rfam family "Bacterial small subunit ribosomal RNA", at positions 28 to 507 of the family's 1533-position model. The record is from RNAcentral.
GACGAACGCUGGCGGCGUGCUUAACACAUGCAAGUCGAACGGAAAGGCCCUGCUUUUGUGGGGUGCUCGAGUGGCGAACGGGUGAGUAACACGUGAGUAACCUGCCCUUGACUUUGGGAUAACUUCAGGAAACUGGGGCUAAUACCGGAUAGGAGCUCCUGCUGCAUGGUGGGGGUUGGAAAGUUUCGGCGGUUGGGGAUGGACUCGCGGCUGAUCAGCUUGUUGGUGGGGUAGUGGCUUACCAAGGCAUUGACGGGUAGCCGGCCUGUGAGGGUGACCGGCCACAUUGGGACUGAGAUACGGACCAGACUCCUACGGGAGGCAGCAGUGGGGAAUAUUGCACAAUGGGCGGAAGCCUGAUGCAGCAACGCCGCGUGCGGGAUGACGGCCUUCGGGUUGUAAACCGCUUUCGCCUGUGACGAAGCGUGAGUGACGGUAAUGGGUAAAGAAGCACCGGCUAACUACGUG